UAAUCUCAGCUGGUAAAUCUGA
RNAcentral lists this microRNA (22 nucleotides) under Nautilus pompilius. RNAcentral's name for it is "Npo-Mir-216-P2c_5p (mature (guide))". The record is from RNAcentral. Lineage: Eukaryota; Metazoa; Mollusca; Cephalopoda; Nautilida; Nautilidae.